CUGUGGUUUGAUUUCUUUUUUAUUUUUGUAUCAGGACAAUCCAUACUGAACCGACUCUUCGAAUCGACUCCCAAAACCACACAAUCGGAAUCAACACCAAUAUUCAUGGAAACAUGGAAGAGCCCAAGGGUUUUAAACAGGACCGAAUGCCCGGAUGUGAGGAGUCGCUUUGAUUGGUCCAGAUAACGCCGAGGUUUUUCUGGGAGAAGGAAUGUAUUUUGGUCAUGGGUUUCUGUGUUAAAUCACAAUGUUUAGUGUUCAUUAAACCUACAGCGUUCUGUAAAAUUCCUGCACAUAUAAUUUACCACCAUUACCUUAGAUUGGUCUUAAAUAAACAAGAAAUCCCCUGUGUAACCGUUAUAGUAAGGGUUAAUCUACCACACUGAUCUCAGAUAAGAGGUGACUGGAAUAAAGUUGGUUGGACGUUCGAUAUUCGCGGAAAUGCGGAAAUUAAGGGACCGUCUCUAAAGUUACAUAGGACAUUGUUAUACACGUUUCUAACUUCAAUAGCAUUUGAAGGGAAUGAUGUACAGUCACAAACCCAAUUGGAAAGUGUUCUUCUAGGUGUCAGCUUAAUAGCAUUCGAAGGGAAUGACUUACAGUCACGUGUGAGUGUGUAUGUGAUUGUGCCCUGCGAUGGACUGGCACCCUGUCCAGGGUGUACCCCGCCUUGUGCCCGAUGCUCCCUGGGAUUGGCUCCAGGAUCCCCCGCGACCUUGAAGAAGGAGUAAGCAGUAGAAGAUGGAUGGAUGGAUGGAUGGAUGGACUUACAGUCACAAAACCAACUGCAAAACCAAAGUGUUCAUCUAGGUGUCAGAUUGUGGAUGGGAGCCAAAGGAAUUCAAAAUUAAUUACAUAGGCAGCACUUCCAGUCAACCUUUUGAGCCCUUUUGAACUGCUUCUCUGACAGAGAAAGGCAUGCCACAUGAAACCACCUCUUGCAGCAGUGACAAUCAAUCUGAAAAAUGAUCAUAGUAAUCUUAUCAAAUUGCUCAGUAAUCAGUUAGUUUCUCUCUCACUCUUUCACCCUCUCUCUCAGUCUCUCUCUUUCAUUCACUCACUCUCUUACACACACAAUACACACUUGUAAAGAAAAUGGUGUGCCCAUAAAAAUGUUAUAACCAUUGCUACAUUACCCACACAAAAUGUUUUUGCACCACCACCCGGGGAUUUUGAGGCAGCACAUAAUGAGCAGUAAUGUCCCCUCUUGAAUACUGAAAACAUGCAGUUAUAUGUUAGCUCUGUUGGCAAAUGGUACAUACUGUAAAUAGCAUUACCAUAUGUUUACUACUUAAUACUACUACUUAGUAUGAUGUUACAACAUGUGUGGUUUUUCUGUGAUAAAAAUCUAUACUUUAUACCAUAGUCUAAAUGACAGGCGUUUUUGUACAAGUAGUAAAUUACCUGAGGCUUUCAGAAGUUCCUCUGCCAUUGUCAGUCGCAGAUGUUCCAUGUGCUCCUUGGAUGAGUUUAUAGUCAAAUGGCAAGGGAUAUUUGGAAACGCACCAACAACUUCUUUUGCCAUCUACAUAAGACAAGAUAAGGUAAUGUUUUUUUUUAUUGUCCAUGGGAGAUUGUUUCACCAUAGCAGCCAUACAUACAAACAAACAAAACACAUACAUCUAAAUCCAAUAAUCAUAUUCAAUACACUAUUUGCAUAAUCUACAGUGAACAAACAUUGAAGAGCCUGAGCCUCCACAUAAAGUACAGUUUGCUCUGACGCUUCCUCUGUGUAGCCUCAAUUUACCCGCUCCAUUCUGGUUUGUUGUCUAGGUACACUCCAGGGUUCUUACAAGACUGAAGUAAAUUAUUAUAAAUUAUUGUAAAUUAUAAUUAUUAUAAGAUAAACUCUUUGUUUUUCUUUAUGUCAUACAAUUUAAUGAGGAAAUCCA
Molecule: long non-coding RNA, 1892 nt
Organism: Ictalurus furcatus (blue catfish)
Lineage: Eukaryota; Metazoa; Chordata; Actinopteri; Siluriformes; Ictaluridae
Exons: 3
Source: RefSeq, a predicted model, not a curated record